RNAcentral lists this unclassified non-coding RNA (292 nucleotides) under Skyttea sp. Its description in RNAcentral is "partial contains 5.8S ribosomal RNA, internal transcribed spacer 2, and large subunit ribosomal RNA". The stretch from base 1 to 52 matches the Rfam family "5.8S ribosomal RNA", at positions 103 to 154 of the family's 154-position model. RNAcentral also lists the same sequence under 1 other name. Lineage: Eukaryota; Fungi; Ascomycota; Leotiomycetes; Helotiales; Cordieritidaceae. The record is from RNAcentral.
AACGCACAUUGCGCCCUUUGGUAUUCCGAAGGGCAUGCCUGUUCGAGCGUCAUUAUCACCCCUCGAGCCCCUGUGGCUUGGCUUUGGACGGUCUGGUUAGGCGACUGACCCCUCCUAAAGACAAUGACGGCGGCCUCGCAGGACCCCCGGUACACUGAGCUUCUUAACUGAGCACGUAUCGGAUCGAGGGUUCUCGGGGCACGGUCUCCUUUCCCCCCUCCCCUCGGGGCGGUGGGAAAACAAUCUUUCUCAGGUUGACCUCGGAUCAGGUAGGGAUACCCGCUGAACUUAA